RNAcentral lists this ribosomal RNA (373 nucleotides) under uncultured bacterium. RNAcentral's name for it is "bacterial SSU rRNA". It matches the Rfam family "Bacterial small subunit ribosomal RNA", at positions 524 to 898 of the family's 1533-position model. The record is from RNAcentral.
UACGUAGGGGGCGAGCGUUAUCCGGAAUUAUUGGGCGUAAAGGGUGCGUAGGCGGCCAUUUAAGUCAGGUGUGAAAGGUUACGGCUCAACCGUAAUUAGCACUUGAAACUGGGUGGCUUGAGUGCAGGAGAGGAGAGUGGAAUUCCUAGUGUAGCGGUGAAAUGCGUAGAUAUUAGGAGGAACACCAGUGGCGAAGGCGACUCUCUGGACUGUAACUGACGCUGAGGCACGAAAGCGUGGGGAGCGAACAGGAUUAGAUACCCUGGUAGUCCACGCUGUAAACGAUGAGUACUAGGUGUUGGGGGAGACAUCCUUCAGUGCCGCAGUUAACACAUUAAGUACUCCGCCUGGGGAGUACGGUCGCAAGACUGAA